GGAGAUGAAAGUCAAGUUUCAAUCCAGACUUUAAGAGUCGUCGAGCUUGUUUUUAAGUCUAAUAGUGUCAUUUUAAGUGAUUGUCACUAUUGUCUAUCUUUCUUGAUGAAUAUAAUUUUUAUUGGUCUUUUGGCCAAAGAUGGUUAUAAUUUAUCAAUAAAGACUGAUUAUUGUGAUAUCAUUAUGAAUGAUGUUACAAUAAUGUGAAGAUAAUUAAGAAAUGGCAUCUAUAUAUUGUCACAGCCUAUGAGUGUAAUGUAUACUCCAAAUAAAUAUCCAAAGUUAGACAAUGUCACUG
Molecule: long non-coding RNA, 298 nt
Filed under: Elaeis guineensis (African oil palm)
Lineage: Eukaryota; Viridiplantae; Streptophyta; Magnoliopsida; Arecales; Arecaceae
Description: long non-coding RNA (EGUI_LNC059001)
Source: RNAcentral